UUUUUUACGGAGAGUUUGAUCCUGGCUCAGGACGAACGCUGGCGGCGUGCUUAACACAUGCAAGUCGAACGAUGAUGCCCAGCUUGCUGGGUGGAUUAGUGGCGAACGGGUGAGUAACACGUGAGUAACCUGCCCCUGACUCUGGGAUAAGCGUUGGAAACGACGUCUAAUACUGGAUAUGACUGCCGGCCGCAUGGUCUGGUGGUGGAAAGAUUUUUUGGUUGGGGAUGGACUCGCGGCCUAUCAGCUUGUUGGUGAGGUAAUGGCUCACCAAGGCGACGACGGGUAGCCGGCCUGAGAGGGUGACCGGCCACACUGGGACUGAGACACGGCCCAGACUCCUACGGGAGGCAGCAGUGGGGAAUAUUGCACAAUGGGCGAAAGCCUGAUGCAGCAACGCCGCGUGAGGGAUGACGGCCUUCGGGUUGUAAACCUCUUUUAGUAGGGAAGAAGGGAGCUUGCUCUUGACGGUACCUGCAGAAAAAGCACCGGCUAACUACGUGCCAGCAGCCGCGGUAAUACGUAGGGUGCAAGCGUUGUCCGGAAUUAUUGGGCGUAAAGAGCUCGUAGGCGGUUUGUCGCGUCUGCUGUGAAAUCCCGAGGCUCAACCUCGGGCUUGCAGUGGGUACGGGCAGACUAGAGUGCGGUAGGGGAGAUUGGAAUUCCUGGUGUAGCGGUGGAAUGCGCAGAUAUCAGGAGGAACACCGAUGGCGAAGGCAGAUCUCUGGGCCGUAACUGACGCUGAGGAGCGAAAGCAUGGGGAGCGAACAGGAUUAGAUACCCUGGUAGUCCAUGCCGUAAACGUUGGGCGCUAGAUGUAGGGACCUUUCCACGGUUUCUGUGUCGUAGCUAACGCAUUAAGCGCCCCGCCUGGGGAGUACGGCCGCAAGGCUAAAACUCAAAGGAAUUGACGGGGGCCCGCACAAGCGGCGGAGCAUGCGGAUUAAUUCGAUGCAACGCGAAGAACCUUACCAAGGCUUGACAUACACCGGAAACGGCCAGAGAUGGUCGCCCCCUUGUGGUCGGUGUACAGGUGGUGCAUGGUUGUCGUCAGCUCGUGUCGUGAGAUGUUGGGUUAAGUCCCGCAACGAGCGCAACCCUCGUUCUAUGUUGCCAGCGCGUUAUGGCGGGGACUCAUAGGAGACUGCCGGGGUCAACUCGGAGGAAGGUGGGGAUGACGUCAAAUCAUCAUGCCCCUUAUGUCUUGGGCUUCACGCAUGCUACAAUGGCCGGUACAAAGGGCUGCGAUACCGUAAGGUGGAGCGAAUCCCAAAAAGCCGGUCUCAGUUCGGAUUGAGGUCUGCAACUCGACCUCAUGAAGUCGGAGUCGCUAGUAAUCGCAGAUCAGCAACGCUGCGGUGAAUACGUUCCCGGGCCUUGUACACACCGCCCGUCAAGUCAUGAAAGUCGGUAACACCCGAAGCCGGUGGCCUAACCCUUGUGGAAGGAGCCGUCGAAGGUGGGAUCGGUGAUUAGGACUAAGUCGUAACAAGGUAGCCGUACCGGAAGGUGCGGCUGGAUCACCUCCUUUCU
This 1533-nucleotide ribosomal RNA is filed under the name Curtobacterium flaccumfaciens. Its description in RNAcentral is "bacterial SSU rRNA". It matches the Rfam family "Bacterial small subunit ribosomal RNA". Lineage: Bacteria; Bacillati; Actinomycetota; Actinomycetes; Micrococcales; Microbacteriaceae. The record is from RNAcentral.